CAGCAGCCACGGUAAUACGUAGGGCGCAAGCGUUGUCCGGAAUUAUUGGGCGUAAAGAGCUCGUAGGCGGUCUGUCGCGUCUGGUGUGAAAUCCCGAGGCUCAACCUCGGGCUUGCAUCGGGUACGGGCAGACUAGAGUGCGGUAGGGGAGACUGGAAUUCCUGGUGUAGCGGUGGAAUGCGCAGAUAUCAGGAGGAACACCGAUGGCGAAGGCAGGUCUCUGGGCCGCAACUGACGCUGAGGAGCGAAAGCAUGGGGAGCGAACAGGAUUAGAGACCCCAGUAGUCCCUGUCUCUUAUAC
Molecule: ribosomal RNA, 301 nt
Filed under: uncultured bacterium
Lineage: Bacteria
Description: partial 16S ribosomal RNA
Rfam family: Bacterial small subunit ribosomal RNA
Source: RNAcentral